This 498-nucleotide ribosomal RNA is filed under the name uncultured bacterium. RNAcentral's name for it is "partial 16S ribosomal RNA". It matches the Rfam family "Bacterial small subunit ribosomal RNA", at positions 30 to 523 of the family's 1533-position model. The record is from RNAcentral.
AUUGAACGCUGGCGGCAUGCCUUACACAUGCAAGUCGAACGGUAACAGGUCUUCGGAUGCUGACGAGUGGCGAACGGGUGAGUAAUACAUCGGAACGUGCCUAGUAGUGGGGGACAACUACUCGAAAGAGUGGCUAAUACCGCAUGAGAUCUACGGAUGAAAGCAGGGGAUCGCAAGACCUUGUGCUACUAGAGCGGCCGAUGGCAGAUUAGGUAGUUGGUGGGAUAAAAGCUUACCAAGCCGACGAUCUGUAGCUGGUCUGAGAGGACGAUCGGCCAGACUGGGACUGAGACACGGCCCAGACUCCUACGGGAGGCAGCAGUGGGGAAUUUUGGACAAUGGGCGAAAGCCUGAUCCAGCAAUGCCGCGUGCAGGAUGAAGGCCUUCGGGUUGUAAACUGCUUUUGUACGGAACGAAAAGCCCCGGGUUAAUACCCUGGGGUCAUGACGGUACCGUAAGAAUAAGCACCGGCUAACUACGUGCCAGCCGCCGCCGUAA